This 103-nucleotide ribosomal RNA is filed under the name Vagococcus silagei. Its description in RNAcentral is "Vagococcus sp. 2B-2 partial 16S ribosomal RNA". It matches the Rfam family "Bacterial small subunit ribosomal RNA", at positions 1 to 95 of the family's 1533-position model. The record is from RNAcentral. Lineage: Bacteria; Bacillati; Bacillota; Bacilli; Lactobacillales; Enterococcaceae.
UUUUAUUGAGAGUUUGAUCCUGGCUCAGGACGAACGCUGGCGGCGUGCCUAAUACAUGCAAGUCGAACGCACUUUCUUUCACCGGAGCUUGCUCCACCGAAAG